RNAcentral lists this ribosomal RNA (614 nucleotides) under uncultured Bacteroidota bacterium. Its description in RNAcentral is "bacterial SSU rRNA". It matches the Rfam family "Bacterial small subunit ribosomal RNA", at positions 367 to 975 of the family's 1533-position model. Lineage: Bacteria; Pseudomonadati; Bacteroidota. The record is from RNAcentral.
GACAAUGGAGGCAACUCUGAUCCAGCCAUGCCGCGUGCAGGAAGACGGCCCUAUGGGUUGUAAACUGCUUUUAUACAGGAAGAAAUGUACCUACGUGUAGGUAUUUGACGGUACUGUACGAAUAAGGAUCGGCUAACUCCGUGCCAGCAGCCGCGGUAAUACGGAGGAUCCAAGCGUUAUCCGGAAUCAUUGGGUUUAAAGGGUCCGUAGGCGGUCUUUUAAGUCAGAGGUGAAAUCCUACAGCUCAACUGUAGAAUUGCCUUUGAUACUGAAAGACUUGAGUUAUUGUGAAGUAAUUAGAAUGUGUGGUGUAGCGGUGAAAUGCAUAGAGAUCACACAGAAUACCGAUUGCGAAGGCAGAUUACUAACAAUAUACUGACGCUGAGGGACGAAAGCGUGGGUAGCGAACAGGAUUAGAUACCCUGGUAGUCCACGCCGUAAACGAUGGAUACUAGCUGUUCGACCAACAUUGGUUGGUUGAGUGGCUAAGCGAAAGUGAUAAGUAUCCCACCUGGGGAGUACGGUCGCAAGACUGAAACUCAAAGGAAUUGACGGGGGCCCGCACAAGCGGUGGAGCAUGUGGUUUAAUUCGAUGAUACGCGAGGAACCUUACC